UACAGAGGGUGCAAGCGUUGUUCGGAAUUACUGGGCGUAAAGCGUGUGUAGGCGGCUUGGCAAGUCGGAUGUGAAAGCCCUGGGCUCAACCCAGGAAGUGCACUCGAUACUGCCGAGCUUGAGUAUCGGAGAGGUGGGUGGAAUUCUCGGUGUAGAGGUGAAAUUCGUAGAUAUCGGGAGGAACACCGGCGGCGAAGGCGGCCCACUGGACGAAUACUGACGCUGAGGAGCGAAAGCGUGGGGAGCGAACAGG
RNAcentral lists this ribosomal RNA (253 nucleotides) under uncultured bacterium. RNAcentral's name for it is "partial 16S ribosomal RNA". It matches the Rfam family "Bacterial small subunit ribosomal RNA", at positions 524 to 776 of the family's 1533-position model. The record is from RNAcentral.